AAAUCCUUAGUAGAGAAAAAAUCACGGACAAAAGAGAAGAGAGCUUCACUAUAAAAAAUAGAGUACAAUGUUUUGGAGAUUACAAAUAUUGUAUUGCGUCUAAGGCAAAAGAGAAGAAGAAAAUUUCUUAACAGGUUCUUCACCAUCCGCUCGAGCCCUCUGCUACCUACAACAAACAUUCAUUUUUUCUUCACAAUUUAUUUUUUUUUAAAAAAUCUAUCGCUCCUCCAAACUAUUGACGAAUAGAAUUUCA
Molecule: long non-coding RNA, 253 nt
Filed under: Ananas comosus (pineapple)
Lineage: Eukaryota; Viridiplantae; Streptophyta; Magnoliopsida; Poales; Bromeliaceae
Description: long non-coding RNA (ACOM_LNC038321)
Source: RNAcentral